CCUACGGGCGGCAGCAGUGGGGAAUAUUGCACAAUGGGCGCAAGCCUGAUGCAGCCAUGCCGCGUGUGUGAAGAAGGCCUUCGGGUUGUAAAGCACUUUCAGCGGGGAGGAAGGCGUUAAGGUUAAUAACCUUGUCGAUUGACGUUACCCGCAGAAGAAGCACCGGCUAACUCCGUGCCAGCAGCCGCGGUAAUACGGAGGGUGCAAGCGUUAAUCGGAAUUACUGGGCGUAAAGCGCACGCAGGCGGUCUGUCAAGUCGGAUGUGAAAUCCCCGGGCUCAACCUGGGAACUGCAUUCGAAACUGGCAGGCUAGAGUCUUGUAGAGGGGGGUAGAAUUCCAGGUGUAGCGGUGAAAUGCGUAGAGAUCUGGAGGAAUACCGGUGGCGAAGGCGGCCCCCUGGACAAAGACUGGCGCUCAGGUGCGAAAGCGUGGGGAGCAAACAGGAUUAGAUACCCGUGUAGUC
Molecule: ribosomal RNA, 465 nt
Filed under: uncultured Klebsiella sp.
Lineage: Bacteria; Pseudomonadati; Pseudomonadota; Gammaproteobacteria; Enterobacterales; Enterobacteriaceae
Description: bacterial SSU rRNA
Rfam family: Bacterial small subunit ribosomal RNA
Source: RNAcentral